UGGUGGAGUGAUUUGUCUGGUUAAUUCCGUUAAUGAACGAGACCUUAACCUGCUAAAUAGUUACAUGUAACCUCGGUUACAUGGGCAACUUCUUAGAGGGACUUUACGUGUCUAACGUAAGGAAGUUUGAGGCAAUAACA
RNAcentral lists this ribosomal RNA (140 nucleotides) under uncultured eukaryote. RNAcentral's name for it is "partial 18S ribosomal RNA". It matches the Rfam family "Eukaryotic small subunit ribosomal RNA", at positions 1299 to 1458 of the family's 1831-position model. The record is from RNAcentral.